Non-coding RNA from Chrysemys picta bellii (western painted turtle), 893 nucleotides. The record is from RefSeq and is a predicted model, not a curated record. NCBI's taxonomy places the organism in Eukaryota, Metazoa, Chordata, Testudines, Emydidae.
UCUGGAAAAGGAGACUAUGGGCACUGUGACAGAGUGGAAUAUGUCCGAGUCAAAUUAUGAACAUUAUCUUGUUUUAUGUGUGGAAAUGUUGGACACUGACUGCACAAGCCUGGACAUGCGCAAAGACUCCUUAAAGGACUAACACUAAGAGCCAUCAAGACUGCAAACUAAGGAAGCAGCUCCUUCAAAAGGUUUCCAAGAUGAAAGCCUUUUUUAAAGUGGCAGAAUACCAUUACCUGAAACUACAUGACAGAACCUCCUUCAGUAACUCAAAUUAUGCAGCACCCAAGCCAAGAAAAUAUACUUUAAAGAAUGCGGAUUUUUAACUGCAUGACCUAUAUCUUCUGUGCAUCUACCUUUCUUGUUUUUUUCAGUUGCUUUCUCCUCGUUGUUUUCUCUGUUUUUGAGUUUAUCCUGAUCAGGCAUAGAGCUCAUAUUUAUAAGAGCUCGUGUUGCUGUCACUUCAUCAAGCCAGACUACAUUACCUAAAACAAAAAACCCAUACAAAAAUAGUUCUAGUUAGCUAAAAUUUUCCACACAGGCUCUUAAGAUUAUAUCCUUUAUCUUACAGUCCUUUAUGUAGAAGACAAAUUACUAGUAUAAAACUUCAGUCACAUAAUAAGUAUAUAAAGUUAUAUGUACCAACAGGAAGGGAGAUUAUCAGCUGUGUUUCAUAAAGGGAAAACAAAUCCUUUAGCAUGUUUGAUCAGCAGGAGACAACUCUGAUCACAAAGGACAACAUAGGCCAUACACCAUAUUAUUUUCUGAUCAAAACUAAAAAAAACAAAACAAAAACAAAAAAACACGCUGAAAUGAUUAAGGUCUACAUAAAUAAUAGAUGUCAAGUAUCAGAGGGGUAGCCGUGUUAGUCUGAAUCUGUAAAAAGCAACAGA